CUUGCUUCCAAAUUCUGUAGGGACCUAGGCUAUCCCUCACCCCCCUCCCAAUUUGAAAGUAUAUAAAUUAGUCACUCCUCAUGACCCCAGUACACUCCUUCGGCCCACGGGUCCCGUCCCUGUGCUUUAGCAAAAUCACCUUUUUUGCAACGAUGCAGAUGUAAAACAUCUCAAGAAUUCUUUCUUGGCUGUUCCCUCCGGACGCCAAUAUCUCACAUCAUUUUGGUGUUCCAACAUGCAGCCUGAGUCUUCUCAUCUGGACUGUGAGCCUUGGUACAAACUUGGUACAAGAACCUCAGGAUAUCUUAAGGACCUCAGAAAGAAGAAUUUGUCCAAAUAUACAGGUACUGCAGGCAUGUCUGAUGACAAGUAUUUGGCUUGGCUUCUGGUCCAGAGAGGCUACUAAAAGUUCAGUCUUGAUUCCUUCUGAAGAGUUCCAGAAAAGCAAAUUUUGAAAGAUCUACAUGGUCAAUCACUAUUCUUGCUGAUCUUAGGUAAAUAAUUAGGCCAAGUCUGUUAAAAUUGGACUUAAAAAAAAAAAAGAUUUUAUUUAUUUAUUUGACAGACAGAGAUCACAAGCAAGCAGAGAGGCAGGCAGAGAGACGGGGGUGGGGGAAGCAGGCUCCCCACCGAGCAGAGAGCCCGAUUAGGGGCUCUAUCCCACA
RNAcentral lists this long non-coding RNA (665 nucleotides) under Mustela putorius furo (domestic ferret). Its description in RNAcentral is "lncRNA (ENSMPUG00000026474.1)". The record is from RNAcentral. Lineage: Eukaryota; Metazoa; Chordata; Mammalia; Carnivora; Mustelidae.